RNAcentral lists this long non-coding RNA (214 nucleotides) under Trifolium pratense (red clover). RNAcentral describes it as "long non-coding RNA (TPRA_LNC014308)". Lineage: Eukaryota; Viridiplantae; Streptophyta; Magnoliopsida; Fabales; Fabaceae. The record is from RNAcentral.
UUUACCGAAUAUUGCACCAACGUCUAUAUGGUUGGCAUUAAAUUUUUUUAGAUGCAUGCCAAUUCAAAAAUUAUGCUUUUGUGAUGUACAAAAAUAAAAUUGUGUUUUUGUACCAUUAAUUCAAAUUGAAUAUAGAAAAUAAAGUGGGCUCAUGAAAAUAAUAUUUUAAUGAAAAAUAAGGUGGGUCCAAGAGGAGAGAGAGGGUUCUUAUUUU